RNAcentral lists this ribosomal RNA (912 nucleotides) under uncultured archaeon. Its description in RNAcentral is "bacterial SSU rRNA". It matches the Rfam family "Archaeal small subunit ribosomal RNA", at positions 1 to 922 of the family's 1478-position model. The record is from RNAcentral.
UGCCGGUUGAUCCUGCCGGAAGUGACCUACUUAUAGGGUUCGAUUAAUCCAUGCGAGUCGAGAGGGUUGGGCCCUCGGCGUACUGCUCAGUAACACGUGGAUAACCUGCCCUAGGGAAGGGGAUAACCCCGGGAAACUGGGGAUAAUACCCUAUAGGUUACAGAUGCUGGAAUGCUCUGUAACCCAAAGUUCCGGCGCCCUAGGAUGGAUCUGCGGCCGAUUAGGUUGUUGUUGGGGUAAUGGCCCAACAAGCCAGUAAUCGGUACGGGUUGUGGGAGCAAGAGCCCGGAGUUGGAUUCUGAGACACGAAUCCAGGCCCUACGGGGCGCAGCAGGCGCGAAAACUUUACAAUGCGGGCAACCGUGAUAAGGGAACCUCGAGUGCCUGUAAAUGCAGGCUGUUCAGAUGCCUAAAACACAUCUGGAGAAAGGGCCGGGCAAGACCGGUGCCAGCCGCCGCGGUAAUACCGGCGGCUCGAGUGGUGGCCACUUUUAUUGGGCUUAAAGCGUUCGUAGCUGGGUUGUUAAGUCUCUUGGGAAAUCUGGCGGCUUAACCGUCAGGCGUCUAAGGGAUACUGGCAAUCUUGGAACCGGGAGAGGUGAGGGGUACUUCGGGGGUAGGAGUGAAAUCCUGUAAUCCUCGAGGGACCACCUGUGGCGAAGGCGCCUCACCAGAACGGCUUCGACAGUGAGGGACGAAAGCUGGGGGAGCAAACCGGAUUAGAUACCCGGGUAGUCCCAGCCGUAAACUAUGCGCGUUAGGUGUAUCGGUGACCACGAGUUACCGAGGUGCCGAAGGGAAACCGUGAAACGUGCCGCCUGGGAAGUACGGUCGCAAGGCUGAAACUUAAAGGAAUUGGCGGGGGAGCACCACAACAGGUGGAGCCUGCGGUUUAAUAGUUAGAACGCCGGA